UUCACCUUGGAAGCAAAGCGUA
Molecule: unclassified non-coding RNA, 22 nt
Filed under: Mus musculus (house mouse)
Lineage: Eukaryota; Metazoa; Chordata; Mammalia; Rodentia; Muridae
Description: oocyte_clustered_small_RNA13518
Source: RNAcentral